This 354-nucleotide ribosomal RNA is filed under the name Trieres chinensis. RNAcentral's name for it is "partial Bacterial large subunit ribosomal RNA". It matches the Rfam family "Bacterial large subunit ribosomal RNA", at positions 23 to 376 of the family's 2925-position model. The record is from RNAcentral. Lineage: Eukaryota; Bacillariophyta; Thalassiosirophyceae; Eupodiscales; Parodontellaceae.
GGUGGAUAUCUUGGCAGUAAGAGGCGAUGAAGGACGCGUAUUAGACUGCGAAAUGCUUCGGGGAGCCGUCAAAUAGGCUUUGAUCCGGAGGUGUCCGAAUGGGGAAACCCUGCUACUGGAGACGGUAGUAACGGCAUGGUGAGUAAAGUAGCCAUGUACGAGCGAACCGAGGGAACUGAAACAUCUAAGUACCUCGAGGAAGAUAAAUCAACCGAGAUUCCGCUAGUAGCGGCGAGCGAACGCGGACUAGGCCAAACCAGUAUGCUUGCAUGCUGGGGUUGUAGGACUUACAUCAAGGGGAAACUGGUAAGGGAACGAUCUGGGAAGGUCGACCAUAGAGAGUGAAAGUCUCGU